RNAcentral lists this ribosomal RNA (497 nucleotides) under uncultured bacterium. RNAcentral's name for it is "partial 16S ribosomal RNA". It matches the Rfam family "Bacterial small subunit ribosomal RNA", at positions 28 to 507 of the family's 1533-position model. The record is from RNAcentral.
GAUGAACGCUGGCGGCGUGCCUAAUACAUGCAAGUCGAGCGAACAGACGAGGAGCUUGCUCCCCUGACGCUAGCGGCGGACGGGUGAGUAACACGUGGAUAACCUACCUAUAAGACUGGGAUAACUUCGGGAAACCGGAGCUAAUACCGGAUAAUAUAUUGAACCGCAUGGUUCAAUAGUGAAAGACGGUUUUGCUGUCACUUAUAGAUGGAUCCGCGCCGCAUUAGCUAGUUGGUAAGGUAACGGCUUACCAAGGCAACGAUGCGUAGCCGACCUGAGAGGGUGAUCAGCCACACUGGAACUGAGACACGGUCCAGACUCCUACGGGAGGCAGCAGUAGGGAAUCUUCCGCAAUGGGCGAAAGCCUGACGGAGCAACGCCGCGUGAGUGAUGAAGGUCUUCGGAUCGUAAAACUCUGUUAUUAGGGAAGAACAAAUGUGUAAGUAACUAUGCACGUCUUGACGGUACCUAAUCAAAAAGCCACGGCUAACUUCGUG